GCCCGGGUGGUGGAAUCGGUAGACACGCAGGACUUAAAAUCCUGUCCGCAGAAAUGUGGGUGCGGGUUCAAGUCCCGCCCCGGGUAC
Molecule: transfer RNA, 87 nt
Filed under: Thermaurantimonas aggregans
Lineage: Bacteria; Pseudomonadati; Bacteroidota; Flavobacteriia; Flavobacteriales; Schleiferiaceae
Description: tRNA-Leu
Rfam family: tRNA
About the family: Transfer RNA (tRNA) molecules are approximately 80 nucleotides in length. Their secondary structure includes four short double-helical elements and three loops (D, anti-codon, and T loops).
Source: RNAcentral